RNAcentral lists this long non-coding RNA (486 nucleotides) under Mytilus galloprovincialis (Mediterranean mussel). The record is from RNAcentral. Lineage: Eukaryota; Metazoa; Mollusca; Bivalvia; Mytilida; Mytilidae.
GAUAUAAAUAAAGGCAACAGUAGUAUACCGCUGUUCAAAACUCAUAAAUCCAUGGACAAAAAACAAAAUCGGGAUAACAAACUAAAACCGAUAGAAACGCAUUAAAUAUAAAAGGAGAACAACGACAUAACACUAAAAUGUAACACACAUAGACAAAAUCCCACGAGAAUAACAAAUAUAACAUAUAUAUAUAACAUCAAAACCAAAUACAUGAAUUUGGGAUAGACAAGUACCGUGACACGUCUUAUCGCAAUGUGAAUUUACACUCAAAAAUAAGAGAAAACAAACGACACAACGUUAUAAUGUAAUACACACAGAAACGAACUAUAAUAUAACAAUGACCAUAUUCCUGACUUGGUACAGGGCAUUUUUAAAGGAAAAAAUGGUGGGUUGAACCUGGUUUUGUGGCAUGCCAAACCUCGCACUUUUAUGGCCAUGUGAAAUAUAACAUCAAAAUGACAACACAGGACUACAAUAUAAAUCAAU